UUUCCCAUUUGACUACUGCUUCAGAUCUUACUAAUAGAUUGAAGUGGUUAUGCUUGUGGGAUAGAUUAACAUUGCCAUGAUCUGAAGAGGGAGGAUUAUUUUUUAAUGUCCUCCCCCUAUAUGAAAUGGCUGUACAUUUAUAU
This 143-nucleotide small nucleolar RNA is filed under the name Echinops telfairi (small Madagascar hedgehog). Its description in RNAcentral is "Small nucleolar RNA SNORA29 (ENSETEG00000022574.1)". It matches the Rfam family "Small nucleolar RNA SNORA29". From Rfam's summary of the family: ACA29 is a member of the H/ACA class of snoRNA that guide the sites of modification of uridines to pseudouridines. Lineage: Eukaryota; Metazoa; Chordata; Mammalia; Afrosoricida; Tenrecidae. The record is from RNAcentral.